AACGAACGCUGGCGGCAUGCCUAACACAUGCAAGUCGAACGAGACCUUCGGGUCUAGUGGCGCACGGGUGCGUAACGCGUGGGAACCUGCCCUUAGGUUCGGAAUAACUCCCCGAAAGGGGUGCUAAUACCGGAUAAUGUCUUCGGACCAAAGAUUUAUCGCCUUUGGAUGGGCCCGCGUUGGAUUAGCUGGUUGGUAGGGUAAAAGCCUACCAAGGGCACGAUCCAUAGCUGGUCUGAGAGGAUGAUCAGCCACACUGGGACUGAGACACGGCCCAGACCCCUACGGGAGGCAGCAGUGGGGAAUAUUGGACAAUGGGCGAAAGUCUGAUCCAGCAAUGCCGGGUGAGUGAUGAAGGCCUUAGGGUUGUAAAGCUCUUUUACCCGGGAUGAUAAUGACAGUACCGGGAGAAUAAGCUCCGGCUAACUCCGUG
RNAcentral lists this ribosomal RNA (433 nucleotides) under uncultured bacterium. RNAcentral describes it as "partial 16S ribosomal RNA". It matches the Rfam family "Bacterial small subunit ribosomal RNA", at positions 29 to 507 of the family's 1533-position model. The record is from RNAcentral.